AUCCAAGGUGAUUCCCUCUCCAAGGGGCCAACUAGUGUCCUUGUCAAGAACGUAGCAACUUGGAAGAGAUCUUGGCAUGUCUGAGGUCUUUGGGGAGCAAGGGCUGCAUAUCUCCUUUCCCUCUCUUUGGUUGCCUACAUGU
Molecule: small nucleolar RNA, 142 nt
Organism: Nannospalax galili (Upper Galilee mountains blind mole rat)
Lineage: Eukaryota; Metazoa; Chordata; Mammalia; Rodentia; Spalacidae
Source: Ensembl